UGUCACCACUCACCAAGAGUCUAGCGACGCCCUCCUCCCUCCUCCCAGCACCGUCGCCUCCGCCCCCCGCCGCCCUCCUCCCUCCUCCCAGCUCCGUCGUCUCCGCCAACGCCUCUGCACCGCCCCGCCCCCCGUCCUCCUCCCAGCGCCGCCGAGCCUUUGACAUCCGCUCCACCCCGGCCCCGCCAGCGCCACCGUCUCCCCUUUGACCUCCGCUCCGCCCAGCUCCGCUGUCUCCCCUGGAUCUCCCGAGCCGCCUCCGAUUUAAGCCCUAUGGCAUGCAUGUCCAUGGUGACGUGCGAGAAGGGAGAAGGGGGACUGGAGGCGGACGGGGCACGGCGAAUUUAGCAUCGGAGCAUGUAGCUGCUCCGAUUUCCUAAAGAAAAUUCGCAGGUUCUGUCCAUUCAGUGGUUGAUUCACCGCUGAUCUGCUGGUUGCUCUUCUGUUUAUCGAGGUCUUGGUCCAAGGAGAUGCUGUUGGUAGGGAGGGAGGCGCCUCAAGUGUCGAGGGAUCGAGGCGUCAAGCAAGUACUACCUAUUUUUCUUCAUGAUUCAUGACCUUGGUUAAUCUCUCUGUCAAUAAGAACGAUUAAAAAAAUUAUGUGCAAACUGAUACGUUGUUACAGCGUGCUGCAAAUACUGGAACACUUCCUCUUCCAUCCAUGGCAUUAGUUACUCCAAGGAGUAUCAUAUAUUAGGUGCUUUUAGGUGUUGAACUGAACAGAGAAAUGUCAUAUAAGGAAGCUGUCGAGCAUGCACAAGCCACGGGCCAUGUCAGUUUCCAAGAAUGCAAAUGACUGUACAAGAUACACUACCUCUGCUGUUAUAACUCUCACCCGUUCCAUUUGGUUUCUUACAGUGUUGAGAAAAUAUUAAUUUGUCAUGCUGUAAAUUCAAUAAUAUCCGUUUGAUAUUGGUGUUUCAUUUCAUUUGUGACCGAAUGUAGUCAUACGUCCAGUGGAAAGCAGGAAGUUUCCUCUUGAAAGAUAAAGUUUAAAUGUUUGUAAAAAGUCCACUCUUAUUCUGAUACCAUAAGAAACAAAGUGAAAGCACCCACACUGUUCAGGUAUACCAAUAAUUGAUCGAUCCAUAUGCUAAUUAAACAUGGCUGUUGUUGUAGGCUAUGUUUAGGAAUGAGUCUAACCAAUCAACACAUGAAAUGAGGAUGGUUUAUAAAUAUCUUCAACAAAGUACAACAAAGUGGGAAGUCAGCUGACCAAAGCUCGGUUAUGAGGCGAAAUAAAGCUCUUCAUGCCUGGACAUGCCCAAUCGUUUUUCUUAAAUGAACUGGUUACUACUAUGGAACCAGGUGGGUGGCUAUUACAUAAAUUAAUGUCGCUUUAUUCUUAAUUACGUACUGUGUUAAUAUAAGGAAGUGUGGUUUAUUCUCAGAUAAAAGUUUUUAUUUUCCUCGGUGUAAGGAACUGAUAGAUUGUUUACCUUUUUGCCUUCAGUAUGUCAUCCAGAUCUAAGAGGCUCUCAGACUAAGAAUCUGCAAAGCAACAACAUAACUAAUUUUUACACACAUUUAGUUUACAGAUAGCUUCACCAAUAUUAAUAAUAUUGUGCAUAUGUUUUAGUGCAGUUGGUUGUGUAUUUUCAAGCUAUCAAGGUGGCUACUAACAUAUUUUACAUGCAUCGUUUAUUUUAUACUCCCUCCGAUCCUAAAUUGUUGUCGAAAUAUUACAUUUAUCUAGACGCUUUUUAAUUAUAGAUACAUCCAUAUUUGGGCAAAUUUGAGUCAAGAAUUUAGGAUCAGAGGGAGUAGAUAAUAAUUCAAUGCCACCAGUUGUCGCACCAUGGUAUUGCUUAUACUCAACAUCUUUAAUUUCUCAAUUUCGUUUAUUGUACCCAAAGGGAGGAAACCAAUCGCCUCUAAUUUGUUCUUUUGCUAGAUUAAACUUGUGCUCACUACCCAAGUGCUAAUUAGUUAUUUACAUUUACUGAGUGCUACAGAAUCUUGAGACGGAAUUGCAUGAGACUGUCUAUAUAUAUAUAGGUAUGCUUUUGUUCAAAUGGCAAUGGCUAAAUCAUCUCUAAUGUUCAGUUACAGACCUUAAGUCCCUUGUGUGUGCUGCAGCCAUUGCAAUGUCAACCUCCCCACCAUGUGAUCGCCUCCUCUCUGAUUUGGUAUAUGUGGUUUUCCUUUGGUUUAAUUCUGACUCAUUGUUGUUUGUAAGACUUUGCAAUUGACUUCAAAGGCUGGGAGGAAUCUAUUCAAGCAUUGCCCACUGGUGCUCAAUACUUAGUAGGCAGCAACACAACACAAAAUGUAACCCAUGUAAAGAAUCUUUACCCCUAUGAAAGGGUGAAGAAACCACCCAUAGGAUCGAUCGGCCACGUCGACGCAAAUCUCCCUCGAUGCCUUUUUUUUUUCAGCCUGGCCGCUGUCGCCCGAUUUGAUUUGGCACCUGUCCCUUGGGCUGUCCCAUGGAGUUUUCUCGAGUGUGUGCGGCCUCAGUUUUGAGGGGUUCCGGUGAGUUCUCCCUGCCGGCCGCCGCUCCCAAAAUCCCGUCGGUUUGACUCAUUAGACGGGAGACAGCAGACCUCUGCGAGGGCGAGUGAGAGAUGGCAGCGGCGACAGCGCAAGCUCUAAGCAGCAGGCACCAGAUGACAGCGGUGGGGCUGGGCAUCUGGCGAAUGGAACCCCAGCCAUCCGUGGCCUCAAGCAUUUCGUCCUCCGCGCCGGGUACCGCCAUUUCAACUGCGCCGGUAUGCCUGCCUCCCCCUCUCCCCCAUUCAUCCUCUUCGGAUCUAUGCUCAUGUGGAUCAAAUCGAGUUGAAUCCCUGGGUGGGGGUCGAUGGUUCUCUUGUGUGGCAGGAGGCGGAGCGUGUCGCAGUCGUCAAACUCGCCGAGGCACACCGCGCACUCGAGCUCGCCCUUCAGGCUGGCCCUGUGCGCCCUCACGUCGGCGUAUGCCAUGGUUGGGAGCGCCCGGAGCACGGCCGUGUCGAGACCGCGCGUCCUUCUCACCUCCCGCUGCCGGCGCCGAUGGCGAAGAGGUUGCCGGCAGGUCCCUGCCGAGCAGCGGAGGUAGAAGGAGAAGAAGAAUCCGAGGAAGAAGAAGGCGGUCACGAACACCACGAUUAUGACCGCCAUCGAUGGGUUGAAGUUUUGUGGGUUAGCUCGGCCCGCGGCUCGGCGAGUCCCGCUGUGCGGACGUGAUGCCGGCGGCCUGAGAGACGAGAGCGGCGACGAGGAGGACAACGAGGAAGGAGGAGCUACUGCGGCCAUUGCCAAGGCCCCGCGUCCAGCCCAUGGAUCGCGGAUCUCUCCGAUCUCACCUCCUUUCGGGUGGAUCUAAUGGAUGGAGGCUGGGCACUGGUUCGUUCUUGUGCCACCCCCCGGUUGUUUGCUGUUGGCGGUGGUAGGGGUCAGUGGAGGUGGAGGCGCACGGGGUUUGUCGACGUUUGCUAGCCGUUUGAUUCAUGCUGCUGGGUUUUUCGUGGGCUGCUGGGUUUCUCGUGGGUUGGCGGUGGUUCUUCCUGUCUGCGUGCUGGGGGUUUCUUCCCUUGUGCAGGUUCGUUGAGAUCUCGAUUCUUUUUUGCUAGCUGAGACCGAUGUGUUCUAUUUACAUGUAUAUGUUUCUUCCGACAUGUUUUGAGGUUUUUCAAUUUUAUUUAUUUUCAAUGGAUCCAGUUGGGAAUAAAGAUGUUACAUGUAACCUAAAUUGAGUGACCAAUUUGAUCAAUUAAUGCCUAAUUGAGCAAUAAUCUGACCUCCACUCAGAAUCAUCCCCAUAGGAUGAGUAAUUGAGACACAUCUCUUCUUUCUCUACCGAACCAUUUUGUGUGAGCUGCAGAUCAAGGAGGAAGGAGACGCUGAACUAUUAUUAGUUGCAGAAAUCAUUAUGUUCAAGCGGUUUGCCCAAUUUCCCUUAGUUUUAAGUACUUUGAGUACAACUUUCUGCCUUUUGUGCACAGUAACUAGAAUAUUGGGUUGGCUAUUGAUAUUAUUGCAAACUUCCAUAAUUAUCUGAAGUUUGGUUUGUAUUGAUACCCACUUCUUAUGCAGUAUAAAGAAAAUGUCAAUCCCAAAAUUAUUUUAGCGUACAAGUUGUUAGCCUUCAGGGGAAAAGGUAUCUUUUGAGGAUGUUAAUACAGUGGAAGUAGUUUUCCUAUAAUCCACCUCUGAUGGACUUGAGGUAUAGAGCUGCAAAAGCUCACUUUUAUUUAACAGUGCAUUGACUUUUUUAUAGUUAUUGUAAACCUCUAAUAUAUUUUUCUUAGUUUAAUUUCCCUUGCCCAAAUCAUGGAGAAGUAUUUCUCUUUUCAAGGUCUAACUAAAGGCGAAUGAAGAUGCUCAUAUUUUCAGCUUCAUAUGUGAAUAGGGGGUUUUUCUGGACCUCCUAUUAAGGUACUUGCACACCUUUGUAUCUGUAGUUAGCUGCCAACUGAAGGGUGCCUAUGUAUGCAAUCAUGUACAGUAGGCUUCCAUUGCUGAUGUGUAUAUAUUUUCUGAAGCAUGGAUCUUUUCUCAUAGUGAUACCAUACCUUGGUCCUAGGUGCUUGAUGUUUCUUUAGCUAAAUCUUCAAUGUUGUUCUCAGUAAUGGAAAAUCAAGAGGAAAUUUUAGGUAAUGAUGGCUACUCCCUUUCCCAUCCACCGUGUUGAGUUGGUGAUAUUAUUCCCGUUUCUUCUUUUCCCUUUGUAUUUUCUUCACUGUGGUUUUUAUGUCUCUUUGUUGACAAAUGUCUCUAAUAUUAUGAUGAUUUUAUUCUGUUUUUACAUGUCCAUCUGGGCAACUUGCCAUUGGUGACUCCAAAUAAUAUUACUCCUGCAGAGUUUGCUGUGUAGUUGGUGCAAAGACAAUUCAGGCACCUUUCUUCUAAAAUCAUGCUUUUUAUGUUUUCACCGUGGUCUUCAUAGCAAUUGAUCUAUAGGUUGCUUCAUUCUUCCUUGUAUCUCUAAUUUAUACAACAUGGUGUCAGGUCAAUCAUUAAUUCAUUGAAGGUAUAUUUGUCACCAUCAUCGUCGCUCUAUAGUAUCACUAUUAGAUGUUUCCAUAUAUUAUAUAAUUUUAUUUAUGCUUUUGUAUGUCUUAUUUCCCCGACUGAUUUGUGUGAUGACAUUGUUUGUUCCUUUCUGAAUAACGCUGAUUACUGAAAUAUUGUCCAUGGUUGACCUCACUGUUGCAGUGAUCCUUUAUUUGGUUCAUUAUCAAUGAUAGUUAUCUCAUUCUGAUCAGUUUUCAGUGUUGGUUUAUGCUAUAUGUAUUUUCUUUUUGGAGUUUUUUAGUCAGGGAUGGACAACCUUUCUCUGGCAAGUAUGUCCACGUGAACACAAAUUGUGCUAACUGUUAGAGUGGUGUUCCUUUGUAGAUGAUAUAUGAGCUUGUGAAAGCAGGGUUACGUAUUUCUUUCAUAUGCUUUUGAUCAAAUUUUGUAGUACUUGACUCACAUUUUUGCAUCUUUCAAAAAGGUAUGUAGCACUACCCAACUGCUAAUUAGCUAUUUAUAUUUAUCGGGUGCACAAUCUACUCUCUUUUUUGCGAAUGGGUGCACAAUCUACUGCUCGAAUGGUUUUCUAAUUAUAAUUGUUUAUGUAGAAUCUCAAGCGGAAUUGCAUGGGCUGUUUGUAUCAAUAAACUAUUGUUCGAAUGGCAACGGCUACUCAUUUCUUUAGUCGGUUGCAGAACAAAGUCCUUUGUGUGGGCUACAGGCAAUGCAAAUGUCCAGAACCACUCAUAGGAUAAUCUCCGAAGAGUAGUCAUGGCUUCUAUAUACAUGUAUGCACACUUUGAAAUUCUGCAUGCAAGUUAUAAAGGUGAAAGUGAGGAAGCAGAGACUGGCAGCGGGCCGAACAAGAUCUGAUCUCAGAUGCACCGGAUCUGGAGGGGCAGGGCGGCGGAGACGGGGACUGCCGGCAGCAGUGCAUACAGCCGCAAACCCUAGAUUCGGCUCUGAGGGGAGGCAUGGCUCGAUGCUGGCACGAUGUGCCGGGAGAGGUGGCACGAGGAAGAAACGGGCCCAGGAUGAUGAGGCAAAAACGGUUCGACAAAAGGUGUUGACAAAGAGGAGGGCUGACGAGCCAGAGCAGGGGUGGGAAUACAACGAAUAUUGGUGGUGUUGUGGUGCCAAAGCAAUGCGGUCAUGCUCACCCAUCGUCGUAGUGCGGCUUCGUGAUGCCUGUGAUCAACUUUCAAAGUGGUCAUUGCGACCAUCGUGCGGUGCCCGUUAAAAGGACCGUGGCAACGCACGGGCAUUAUACUAGUCUUAUAUUAUGUUACUUAUGUGACCAUGGCAUUACAGCCAUGUUGCCAUGCAGUACUCCUCUGUCCAAUUCACCAAACAAUUUUUGCUGCCAUUCCUAAACCCUACUGAAAACCUAAGAAUCAAGCUGGGGGAGAAUUUUGUAAAACAUCAAGUUCGCUUGAUCAAAGGGAGAUGGAAGAGCCACCAUUACAACAGGCUGGGGAGAUUUCGUAUA
This is a long non-coding RNA of Brachypodium distachyon (stiff brome), 6427 nucleotides long. RefSeq lists it as uncharacterized. The record is from RefSeq and is a predicted model, not a curated record. NCBI's taxonomy places the organism in Eukaryota, Viridiplantae, Streptophyta, Magnoliopsida, Poales, Poaceae. The transcript is spliced from 6 exons.